This 403-nucleotide ribosomal RNA is filed under the name Isochrysis galbana. RNAcentral describes it as "partial Bacterial small subunit ribosomal RNA". It matches the Rfam family "Bacterial small subunit ribosomal RNA", at positions 537 to 942 of the family's 1533-position model. The record is from RNAcentral. Lineage: Eukaryota; Haptophyta; Isochrysidales; Isochrysidaceae.
AGCGUUAAUCGGAAUCACUGGGCUUAAAGCGUGCGUAGGCGGCUCUGCAAGUAUCUUGUGAAAGCCCACGGCUCAACCGUGGAAUUGCUCGGUAGACUGCAGAGCUUGAGCCCGACAGAGGUCGUCGGAACUCUAGGUGGAGCGGUGAAAUGCGUAGAUAUCUAGGGGAACGCCAAAGGUGAAGACAGGCGACUGGGUCGGAGCUGACGCUGAGGCACGAAAGCGUGGGUAGCGAACGGGAUUAGAUACCCCGGUAGUCCACGCCGUAAACGAUGGUCACUAGCUGUUCGGACUUCGGUCUGAGUGGCUAAGCGAAAGUGAUAAGUGACCCACCUGGGGAGUACGUUCGCAAGAAUGAAACUCAAAGGAAUUGACGGGGGCCCGCACAAGCGGUGGAGCAUGU